RNAcentral lists this ribosomal RNA (497 nucleotides) under uncultured bacterium. RNAcentral's name for it is "partial 16S ribosomal RNA". It matches the Rfam family "Bacterial small subunit ribosomal RNA", at positions 28 to 507 of the family's 1533-position model. The record is from RNAcentral.
GAUGAACGCUGGCGGCGUGCCUAAUACAUGCAAGUCGAGCGAACGGACGAGAAGUUUGCGUCUCUGAUGUUAUCGGCGGACGGGUGAGUAACACGUGGAUAACAUACCUAUAAGACUGGGAUAACUUCGGGAAACCGGAGCUAAUACCGGAUGAUAUUUUGAACUGCAUGGUUCAAAAGUUAAAGACGGUCUUGCUGUCACUUAUAGACGGAUCCGCGCUGCAUUAGUUAGUUGGUAAGGUAACGGCUUACCAAGGCAAGGAUGGAUAGCCGACCUGAGAGGGUGAUCGGACAGCUGGGAAGAGAGGCUGAGCAGAGACACCGGCACGAGGACGCGGCCGGGAAUCUUACGCGAGGGGGGAGUGGGGGAUAUUGGAACGCCGGGGGAGGGAUGAAGGUGUUCGGAUGGGUGAACUAUGUAAGUAGUAGAGUUCAAAAGUGUUAGUAACCGUGAAGAUCAUGACAGUACCGGAAGAGAAAGCCACGGCUAACUACGUG